GUUGAGGGACCAGCUGAUCAGUUCCAUAAUUUAGGAUUUGAGAGACUUCACCACAGAAAGACAAGAAGAGACGAGACGAGAGGCACAGUGAGACACAAUCAGCAAGAUAAGGGAGGGGGACCAGAACGGCCUUUUGAACAAGUGCAGGGGACAUGUCUCCUGUGUCCCCCCCAAAUUAUGUCCCUAACCCCUGCACUUGUUCCACAGUGUCAAACUGUGAGGGACAGCUUCCUGAGUGACUUCCUGUCAACAGAACAGGGAGGGACCCUGAAAGUGAAAGUGUUUGUUCAGACUCCAUGUUGAGGUCGCAGAGCAGAAGGAGGAGAAGUGAAGGCUGAGGCAGGACUGACUGAAGUCCAGAAGAUGGAGGAAGAGGAGGACAGAGCAGAGUCUCCAGGAUCCAACGUCUGUCUAAGAAGAGUGACCGGUCCAAACAUGAACCUCUAAAGUUCAGACAUGAACCUGGACCUCAGACACAAAAGUUCAGUCCAACAGACGGAGAGCAGAGUCUCCAGGAUCCAUCUGUCUGU
This is a long non-coding RNA of Larimichthys crocea (large yellow croaker), 530 nucleotides long. RefSeq lists it as uncharacterized. The record is from RefSeq and is a predicted model, not a curated record. Lineage: Eukaryota; Metazoa; Chordata; Actinopteri; Sciaenidae. The transcript is spliced from 3 exons.